Molecule: ribosomal RNA, 408 nt
Filed under: uncultured bacterium
Lineage: Bacteria
Description: partial 16S ribosomal RNA
Rfam family: Bacterial small subunit ribosomal RNA
Source: RNAcentral
GACGAACGCUGGCGGCGUGCUUAACACAUGCAAGUCGAACGGAGUGGCGAACGGGUGAGUAACACGUGGGUGACCUGCCCUGCACUUCGGGAUAAGCCUGGGAAACUGGGUCUAAUACCGGAUAGUGUGGGAUGGGGGCGCGGCCUAUCAGCUUGUUGGUGGGGUAAUGGCCUACCAAGGCGGCGACGGGUAGCCGGCCUGAGAGGGUGGACGGCCACAGUGGUACUGGGGCAGGGGCCAGAGGGAUACGGGGGGCAGCGGUGGGGGAUAGUGCACGAUGGGCGGAAGCAGGGUGGAGGGACUCCGCGUGGGAGAGGACUGCUUUCGGGGUGGAAACGCCUUUCACCAUCGACGCGGUAGAUGAAGAAGAAGCACCGGCUAACUACGUGCCAGCAGCCGCGGUAAUAC